Molecule: transfer RNA, 61 nt
Filed under: Hirudo nipponia
Lineage: Eukaryota; Metazoa; Annelida; Clitellata; Hirudinida; Hirudinidae
Description: tRNA-Leu
Source: RNAcentral
AAUAAGUUGGCAGAUUAGUGCAUUUGAUUUAGAGUCAAAGUAUAAAUAAAUUUACUUAUUA